RNAcentral lists this ribosomal RNA (389 nucleotides) under uncultured bacterium. Its description in RNAcentral is "bacterial SSU rRNA". It matches the Rfam family "Bacterial small subunit ribosomal RNA", at positions 30 to 416 of the family's 1533-position model. The record is from RNAcentral.
AUUGAACGCUGGCGGCAGGCCUAACACAUGCAAGUCGAAUGGUAACAGGAAACAGCUUGCUGUUUCGCUGACGAGUGGCGGACGGGUGAGUAAUGUCUGGGAAACUGCCUGAUGGGAGGGGGAUAACUACUGGAAACGGUAGCUAAUACCGCAUAACGUCGCAAGACCAAAGAGGGGACCUUCGGCCUCUUGCCAUCAGAUGUGCCAGAUGGGAUUAGCUAGUAGGUGGGGUAACGGCUCACCUAGGCGACGAUCCCUAGCUGGUCUGAGAGGAUGACCAGCCACACUGGAACUGAGACACGGUCCAGACUCCUACGGGAGCAGCAGUGGGGAAUAUUGCACAAUGGGCGCAAGCCUGAUGCAGCCAUGCCGCGUGUAUGAAGAAGGCC